This is a long non-coding RNA of Pantherophis guttatus, 771 nucleotides long. RefSeq lists it as uncharacterized. Lineage: Eukaryota; Metazoa; Chordata; Lepidosauria; Squamata; Colubridae. The record is from RefSeq and is a predicted model, not a curated record.
AGGCUCUUUGGCUGCUGGAGGAAGAUCAGGCUAGUUGUGAUAAUAACUUCAAAUAUGCUUGACAAUUUGGGAAAAUUAAAGUAGAACACCUUCUAUUUAAUUGGGACUAGGAGAAGAUGGAUAUUGCAUGGAUUUAGAAUUGUGGCCUGGGACAUUCCAAUCAAGAUUCUCACCUGUGUUGAUGGGACCCACAUGCCCUGUCAGUUCCUGACACUUUUCACGUUCCUGGGCAGCACAUGUGUUGGAACACAGCACAUGAAGGAGCUCCAUUGCCUUGCGAUGCCUAUCCUCAUCAUAAUCUCCUGACAUGAUGCCUAAACAGCAAGUAGACAUUGAACAAUGGUGCAGACUGAAAACAAUAAAACAGCAACCACAAAUGACCCAUGGAUAAAAAGGCUAUCCUGAGAGCUGAUGCAGAAGGACAGCUCAUUGAUUCUUGAACUAAAGAAAGAAAUGAUGCAGCUUUCAGCUGGAGCUCUUCCAUGGCUCUUUGAAAAGAAAGAUCCGUCCCAGAUCUGGAUGACACUACGGUCAUUUGAAGAAGAAAGUAAAUGGGCCAGCGAAAUUCACAUGAAAGGAAUUGAAUUCUCUGGUGGGGUCGGAUUAAUAGACUAUUUGAUAAAAGCCCUGCUGAUUAGACUAAAGGCCUUUGGAAGCCAACAUCCUGAUCCCCAAAAGGCUUAAUCAGUGAUCUCAAGGGAACUAAGAAGGCCAUGAGAAGUUGUACAGUAAUUACUGCUCAGUAAAUGCUCUUUCUACUCUUGGAGAGAA